GCAUAUCAAUAAGCGGAGGAAAAGAAACCAACAGGGAUUGCCCUAGUAACGGCGAGUGAAGCGGCAAAAGCUCAAAUUUGAAAUCCUGCGGGAAUUGUAAUUUGAAGGUUUCGUGGUCUGAGUCGGCCGCGCCCAAGUCCAUUGGAACAUGGCGCCUGGGAGGGUGAGAGCCCCGUAUGGCGCACGCCGACUCUUUGCACCGCGGCUCCGACGAGUCGAGUUGUUUGGGAAUGCAGCUCUAAGUGGGUGGUAAAUUCCAUCUAAAGCUAAAUAUUGGCGAGAGACCGAUAGCGAACAAGUACAGUGAUGGAAAGAUGAAAAGCACUUUGAAAAGAGAGUGAAACAGCACGUGAAAUUGUUGAAAGGGAAGGGCUUGCAAGCAGACACGGUUUUACCGGGCCAGCGUCGAAAAGGGGGGAGGAACAAGAACUCGAGAAUGUGGCGCGCACCUUCGGGCGCGCGUGUUAUAGCUCGUGUUGACGCCUCCAUCCCUUUUCGAGGCCUGCGAUUCUAGGACGCUGGCGUAAUGGUUGCAAGCCGCCCGUCUUGAAACACGGACC
This 560-nucleotide ribosomal RNA is filed under the name uncultured fungus. RNAcentral describes it as "LSU rRNA". It matches the Rfam family "Eukaryotic large subunit ribosomal RNA", at positions 38 to 667 of the family's 3401-position model. The record is from RNAcentral. Lineage: Eukaryota; Fungi.